This 6525-nucleotide long non-coding RNA is filed under the name Homo sapiens (human). Its description in RNAcentral is "HSALNT0274701". The record is from RNAcentral. Lineage: Eukaryota; Metazoa; Chordata; Mammalia; Primates; Hominidae.
GUGAUUGAUUCAAAUACUGCGUACUCUUGCUAGUAUUUUCCUUGCAUGCUGAUAUGGUUUGGCUGUGUCCCCACCUAAAUCCCAACUUGAAUUGUAUCUCCCAGAAUUCCCACGUGUUGUGGGAGGGACCCAGGGGGAGGUAAUUGAAUCACGGGGACCGGUCUUUCCUGUGCUAUUCUCGCCAGAGUGAAUAAAUCUCACGAGAUCUGAUGGGCCUAUCAGGGGUUUCUGCUUUUGCUUCUUCCUCAUUUUCUCUUGCUGCCGCCAUGAUUCUGAGGCCUCCCCAGCCAUGUGGAACUGCAAUACUUUAAAGACACAAAGUCUCAACAACCAUCUUCCGCUUGACGAGACAGAUCAUUCUAAUUUGAGCAGAAGCUACUAUGUCCUGCCCUUUGAACGCGGCGGCCCGGACAGCUGACAAGGACACACUGUGUAUUUCCAUUCCAAUUCUGGGAGUGCUCUGAGGCCUCUGGGGGAGAAGGACCCAUGAAAUAUUCAAAACAUAAGUGAAUAAAAUAUCUAGGUGCUAGAUAUGGGCCAGGAAGAGCCCUCGGCCCUGCAAAGUGUGUGUGAUGGUGAGAAGCUACCGGAAGAGAUGGUCCCUGUGCUUGGUUCAUUCCUUGGACAUUUAUCAAGCUGACGAAUGUAGCAGAGGUGCUUCAGUCGGCUGUAAUUCCACGGGUGGAGUGCUGGCUGGAGAGUUACCUGGGGCUGUCACACUGCAUGGGCUCCGGGACACUGUGGCUGCCCUUAUGUGGUGUCCCCGGAGGGCCCUGCAGGUGUCACACCGCUGCUCCACACUGCCACCUGCUGUCAGCAUCUGUGCAACGUAUCCAGGUCUCUGGGGGCUAGAAUGAAAAACAUGCAUCUCGUAACCAAUGAAAUCGGGCUUGUCCUGAAGACCUCGUGCAUUCAUCCAUUCUCACACUGCUAUAAAGACAUACCUAAGACUGGGCACUUCAUGAAGAAAAGAGGUUUAAUUGGCUCACGGUUCUGCAGGCUUUACAGGAAGCAUAGCAGCUUCCACUUCUAGGGAGGCCUCAGGAAACUUAUAGUCAUGGUGGAAGGUGAAGGCGGGACAAGGCGUCUCACAUGGGAGCAGUAGAGAGAGAAAAAGAGGGGGUGCCGCACACUUUGAAACAACCAGAUCUAACGAUAACUCACUAUCAUGAGAACAGCACCAAGAAGCUGGCGCUAACCCACUUGUGAAGGACCACCACCAUGAUCCAAUCCCUUCCCACCAGGUCCCACUUCCAACGUUGGGGAUUACACUUCACGGUGAGAUUUGUGCAGAGAGGACACAGGUCCAAACCAUAUCACCUGCUGUCUUUUUAUUUAUUUAUUUAUUUAUUUAUUUAUUGAGACAGAGUUGCUUCGUCACCCAGGCUGGAGUGCAGUGGCGUGAUCUCGGCAUCACCCAGAGCACACCCAGAGCAGCCUGCAGCGGCGUGGAAGGGGCUUGCACUGGCCCCAAGGUGCAGGGGAGCCCUGCCUGCCUGUCUCCUGCUAGGCUUGCCUGGGCUCCCGCCUACAGACCAUGAGAAUUCUUCUAGCAUGGGAAGAGAGUCUGACCAAAGUGACAACAGCCAUCCCCUGACUGCCCAGCACUGUUCACUUCUUCCCAGAUACUCCUACCAGACCAGGUCAGCCCUUCUUUUACUGGGGGGCCAGAAAGGUCCCCCCAAUCCAGUCCAGGACUCCAGAUGAUGCCCAUUUCUCUGCCAGUCCCAGCAAUCUCCCUUCUCAGCAUCUGGCAUCCUGGGAUGUACCCUAAAGUUCACUGGCUCAGAGCACCCUAACUAUGGCUGCGGCGAGGGGGGAGGGCGGGAUCAGGUCGGCGUGCUGCACAUGGGUCCUGGGGCGGGAACAGUAUUCUGGCUAUGCUCCUGCAGCUGGGCCCUCACAAGGGGCAGCGUCUGCACCCUCUCAAGGCUUUGCAGAUAAGGGUUUAUUGAAGAGGGAGGUGACCCACACCAUCCCCACUGAGGGAUCUGGUUAGGGGGCUCCCCCCAGAAUGUAGGCAAGAGGGCAGCAUCUUGAUAGUGAGGGUUGGUCACCCGGGAACCACAGUAACGUCUGCAGGGACCUUCCCCCAGUGGCACGCACUUCCCAGAAUGCUCACGGUCACCCUCAGCUUUCAACUGUGGGGACCUAACGCGUCUCCUGGUAGAGUCCUCACUCCCUUGGCUAAAACUUCUGAAAGCAGCGAGGCCGGGCUCCCUGGCUAGGAUGGCUCUGGCCCUGAGCAGGUCAUUUGCGUCAAGUUUCACCACCCAGCACCCUGUGCUUUCCCCAGCUGGCUGCACGCUGGGCCUCCGGGAAGCCGGCAAGCCCACCUGAUUCUGGAUCCUCCCUCCGAGCCUGGGUGACGCUGUCAUGAAAGAAGCUGCCAGAAGCCCACAGCAGGGCAGUUAGGCAGGGAAUGCGAGUCCGUGUCCAGAGCAAGGGUGACUCCAGUCCCUCCAGGACGGAGAAGCCAGUGCGACCCACUGUCCCAGGCCCCCAUGGCCCUGGCUGCUCCUGGCGGACAGAGGGGCAUGUUGCCCACGCUAUGCCUUGUUCCCUCUGGGCUGCCAUGGCCCCUGGAACAAUUCCUGGGACAGCCUGGGGAGGAGGCUGACAAUCAUGCAAGGUGGAUGCAGCUUGGCCCCUCCCAGUCACCUAUGUGUUCCUUCCUCAGACUCCCGUGGGGCUGGAGUCAUGAUUUUGCUCCCCAUCCCAUCUGUAGGCCGCCCCUGCCUGGAUGAGACCACGCUGACACUCACACGCCUCCCUCCAGGAGGACCUUGCCUCCACUUUCUCCAGGGCCACCUGUGAUGCACCAGGAUCCAUCCUGUAAUCCCAGCUACUUGGGAGGCUGAGGCAGGAGAAUCACUUGAACCUGGGAGGCGAGAGGCAGAGGUUGCAGUAAUAAGCCAAGAUUGGACCACAGCACUCCAGCCUUAGCAAUAGAGAGAGACUUCGUUUCAAAAAAAAAAACCUAUGCAAAUCCCAAUUACACACGCUGAGUGGCAUGUUCAGCUGAGCCACCUGCCCAAGGCGGGACCCUCUCUUCCUCCGUCUGCAGGUCACAUGGAGAUGGCAGAGCACCUGCACGUGCACCUGGAGACCCUCUCAAGCCUCGUCUCCUGGCACUGCCUCCUCCUGACAUUGGAGGCUGCUGGGAGUACCAGCCUGUAACCCUCGUUGUGAUGGCACCUGCCUGGUGCUAUAAUUCAGACAUUUGUCUCCCCAACCUCAUGUUGAAAUUUGAACCCCAAUGUUGGAGGUGGGACCUGACAGAAGGUGCCUAGGACAUGAGAGCUUGGUGCUGUCCUCGCGGUCAUGAAUGCAUUCAUGCUUUAUUCCUUCUCACAAGAACUGAUUGUUAAAAACGCUUGGCACCUCCUCUGCCCACUCUCUCUUGCUCCCUCUCUCACCAUAUGGUCUGCAUGCACCUGCUCCCAUCGCCUUCUGCCAUGAGUGGACACUUCCUGAGGCCUCACCAGAAGCAGAUGCUGGCACCAUGCUUCUUGUACAGCCUGCAGAACUGUGUGCCAAAUAAACCUCUUUUCUUUAUAAAUCACCCAACCUCCCAACACAAAUCGUCCAAGACACCUGGUGUCCCCCAAACAGCUCCUUGGUCAACCUCAGAUUCAGGACCAAUCUGAGAGCUGUUUCCGUGAAGGGAGGAGAGGAGAGUUGUUAGCUGAAGAGGACAUGGGUUUGCUCAAGAUCCCUGCAUUCUCCACUAUGGCUCUCUGAUUCUCCUCUCUGAGCUUGUGGCAGACACGGCAGAUACCUCAAGCAUGGCUGGGCAGCAGAUGCUGGCUGAGAGGAAGUGGCUGAGCCCAACUUGUCCCUCCUCAGACCCCAGAAUUGCCAAGACCAGAGUCCUCCAUAAAGACCUCACAAACAGGCAAUCACUGCAUGCUUUUCCACAAUUAAAUAUGUGCACAUCUUAAGGAAAGGACCUAACAUCCUUCAGCAGUAUCUCUUUCCAGGGCAGGGAGUGACUGCGUCAGCAGCCUCAAGUACCUGGAAACUGUCCACAUCAGGCAAAGUGGUGGGAGAGACACAGAUGUUUCCACCAGCAUUUAAAAGAAAGGAAAGAAAAUUAUUGACAAGAAGCCUCCAUGGUGGAUCAGGCUUCAACGUUUUGAUGGACCUGGCCUCUCUUGGAAGCAAAUCCCUGGAUGGAGCCCAUGUCUCUUUGGGCCCCCAAAGGCAGCCUGACCUUGACACGGAGUGCAAAGCAGACUCAGCUGCUUGUGUUUAAUGGGGAUUCGCAUAGUUGGUUUUUGGUUUUGUUUUUGUUUUGUUUUGUUUUUUGUUUUUUUUUGAGAUGGAGUCUUGCUGUGUUGCCUAGGCUGGAAUGCAGUAGCGUGAUCUCUGCUCACUGCCUGCAACCUCUGCCUCCCCAGUUCAAGUGAUUCUCUUGCUUCAGCCUCCCGAGUAGCUGGGAUCACAGGCACGUGCCACCAUGCCCUGCUAAUUUUUGUAUUUUUAGUGGAGAUGGGGUUUCACCAUGUUGGCCAGGCAGGUCUCGAACUCCUGACCUCAAGUGAUCCUCCCACCGCAGCCUCGAACAAUGCUGGGAAAACAGGCGUGAGCCACUGUACCCAGCUGGGAUUUGUGUAGUUUUGUCCGUGCUGUUAUAUGGUGCACUGGGCAGAGCCAGCCAGUCCCGCCUCGAGCCCCGUUACUUUGGUCUCUGAUGCAGAUGUUGUGUGGCAGUGGAACGGCCUCAUCAGCCCCACCUGGGACCUGGCAGGGGAUGGGUCUGAGCAGCCCUAGAGGAGGGUCCCCAGGGCCCACAGCAAGGGUGACAUGACCCACACCAUCCCCACUGAUGGGACCCACACAGUGAACCUCCUCCCACACCCCCUCCCCAGCCGGCCACUUGGACCAGAGAGACGUUAUCAAAGUGCCCUCUCAGAAACGUCGCCUUCAUCCACCAUCCUCUUUUAACCCACUGGGCUUGGUCAGGAAGCCGUUGGUCAGCAGGGGGCAGGUGGGGUUGGGGGGCACCCUUAUGUCCUGUGAGACCCUAGCAGGCACUCCAGCUUGGGAUUUCCAGAGGCUCUGAGGUGGCUAAGAACAGGAUGACAAAUCGACUCCAAGGUUCAACUCUUCCCCUCAUGGACACUCCUCCCUAUGCUGUUCUCAUCUCAAAUUUUACCUGUUUUUCUCAAAGUAGCUCACCAGAGGUUGGAAAUGAGAUCAAAGGUCAGCGUGGAUCUCAACAUUAUUAUUCAUCAGGGAAAUGCAAAUCACACCAGAGAUGAGACGCCAUGACACUCACACUAGCAGGGCUAAAAUUUAAAAGUCUAGCUGGGGCUGGGCAUGGUGGCUCAUGCCUGUGAUCCCAGCACUUUAGGAGGCCAAGGCAGGAGGAUUGCUUGAAGCCCAGGAGCUCAAGACCAGCCCCGGCACCAAAGCAAAACUGUACCUCUACAAGAAUUUUUUUUUUAAUUGGCUAGAUGUGGUACACAUGCCUGUGGUCACAGCUACUUGGGAGGCUGAGGAGGGAGGAUCACUUGAGUCCACGAGUUCGAGGCUUGGUGAACUGUGAUCAUGCCACUGCACUCCAGUCUGGGCAACAGAGUGGGACCUCAUCUCUUAAAAAUAAAGAAAAGGAAAGGAGUGGAAAGGAGAGGAGAGGAAGAAACUUGAUAUUUCAAUUAUUUUAAAUUUGUUGAGACUUGUUUUGUGGCCUAACAUAUGGUCUAUCCUGGAGAAUGUUCCAUGUGCUGAGGAAAAGAAUGUAUAUUCUGUACAGCUGUUGGAUGGAAUGGUCUGUAAAUGUCUGUUAGGUCCAUUUGGUCUAAACCAUAGUUUAAAUCCAAUGCUUAUUUGUUAAUUUUCUAUCUGAUGAUAUGUUGAAGGCUGACAGUGUGAUGUUGAAGACCCCAACUGUUACUAUAUUAGAGUCUCUCUCUUUAGAUCUAAUAAUAUUCACUUUAUAUAUCUGGAUGAUUUGGUGUUGGGUGCAUAUAUAUUUACAAUUGUUAUAUCUUCUUGCUGAGUCAGUCCCUUUAUCGUUAUAUAAUGACCUUCAUCUCUUUGUAGUUUUUGACUUAAAGUCUGUUUUAUCUGAUAGAAAUAUAGCUACUAUCGCUCACUUUGGGUUGAUGAAAUAUCUUUUUACAUCCCUUCCCUUUUAGUCUGUAUGUGUAUUUAUAGGUGAAGUGAGUUUCUAACAGGCAGUAUAUAGUUAGGUCAUUAAAAAAAAAUCCAUUCAGCGAGUCUGUAUCUUUUAAGUGGGGAAUUUCAUCCAUUUACCUUCAGGAUUAUUAUUGGUAGGUGAGGGUUUAUUUUAUAAUUUUGUUAAUUGUUUUCUGAUUGUUUUGUAUAUCCUUUGUUUCUUUGUUCCUUUCUUCCUUCUCAUUAUUUAUCAUUGAGGUUGGGUGGUUUUCUGUAGUGAUAAGGUUUGAUUCUUUUCUUUUUCUGUUUUGGAUAUUUGCUUUACCACUGAGUUUUAUACUUUUGUGUGUUUUCAUGAUAGUGAUUGUCAUUUUUUCACUCACAGAUGUAGGAUUCCCU